Long non-coding RNA from Heterocephalus glaber (naked mole-rat), 2858 nucleotides. The record is from Ensembl. NCBI's taxonomy places the organism in Eukaryota, Metazoa, Chordata, Mammalia, Rodentia, Bathyergidae.
CUGAAGACACUUUCUUUAAAAUUGAAUAUUUCAAGCAAUAAACACUUGUCGUCUAUAGAAUUCCCCACAAGAUUUAUCGAAUGCACCCAUUUUGAUCACUCCUAUCUCCUUCUCAAUGGGUUUUGCUCUGCACUGUCUAUGCCUGCGUGCACCUAAUGGGUUUAUUAACCAAAUUAGCAUGUGCCCAAUGUUCCCUUCUGUUCUGUGAGUUACUGACAUUUUGACAACAAGCAUGAAGAAGUGAGACAGAUGGGGCAGACUUGCAUUGAACUCCUUGCAUUUUAUUUUUCAGGCUAUCUCAUUCAUUAAGCAACUCCACUUUGUGAAAUAAACGAUGGUACAUACAAAGCCAUUACCAAAUGUAUUUAUUGCUAAAAACGAGAUUUUUCAAGAAAGGCAAACUGGCUAAAAAGUCCUGAAAGUGUUUGAAGUAGAAGACGCCCACCGAGACUACAAAGUAACUUUUAGUAGAAAUCCUAUCUUUAACCAGCAUGUUCUUAAAUAAAUUGCUUUUUUAAAAACCCUUUCAAUGAUACUGCCAUAAAAAUUAAGACAUUCAAACAGAUGCCGAAAGGCUUAAAAAUGGGCUGAAUUUUAUUUGAACAGGUCACUAAGCUUAAAGGUUCCAGUUUGAGGCCAGUUGGCCUAGAACCGAUUUGGGAUGCAGGCACUUACCUCCCUGCACAUGCAAUCUGUGGGCACAGAGACAGCCAUGGCCCUCGGGGGAAAAGAAUCCCCCUCCUGAAUGUGACCUCCAAGAGUAAGGGCAAACUGUCAGCUUUUAACUCUUUAUUAUAAAGACAUAUUUACACAGAACAAUCUUUACAAACACAGUGAACACAAUUAUGGGGGAGGGACAACUUCUUAAUGAAAAGGGCCUUAAUAUCUUUGUAUAAAUUAGUAGAAGAAUCAUACACAACCACUUUAAAUAAGACAACACCCUUGACCCACCCACUACCCUCCUCUGCCAUGUCCCCAUCUUUCCCAGCCAUCAUCCCUCUUCUGUCCUUUUCCCCAUGGGGCUGGCCAUGGCUACAGGUCAUGGCAGGCUGCUGAGGCAUGGGAUGCAGAAAGGAGGAGGAGAAGGAAGGUGGUCAGGUCCCUGGUGGGGCUACCAGUGGCAGAGAAGACUUUCUUUCUCUGGACACUGACCAGCCCCACUCCAUGCCCAGUUGGGUUGGAGGCUAUGCCCAGCGCAGCUUCCCAGGGUGGGCCUUGAGGUGGCAGCAGUAGCAGCAGUAGCAGCAGCAGGAGCAGUGGCAGAGGGGAAGGAAAAGACUGAGUGGGAGGCGUAGGCAAACACUGGGGUUACUGUGGGACUUGGGGGCCCUGACUCCCCCUGCCCUCAUGCAUACAUAGGGGGGCAUCAGGCUUCUGUUUUCCCUUUUUUUUUCUCCUGGGAGGCCAGUGAGAAGGAAGGCUGCUCAGGUAAAAGCCAAGAGGGUCCACCUUCAGAGGAAGCCAUGGAAGGGCCCUCAUGAAAGACAGGGCCUCCUGGCAAGGGGUGCUACCCCACCUGCACAUCCUCCUAUCUCUCUUUAUUCCUUCUCCCCUUCCUUUCCUCCCUUCUUCUCCACGCUCUGCCCUCUGACCCCACCAGGAAAGGCCACUAGGAAGGACGGUCCAAUCCACACAAAGCAGAGGCUAUUGAGUUGACUAUUUAAGGCUGCCUCUGGCUCCAGACAGGCAGUGUUGGGGUCUGAAUAGUAGUCUCAGGCCCUGAGCUGCCCUGUUAAAGUACCCCAGGGCCAGGAGUACUGCUGGCCGUUUAUGGAACCUUCCAUCCUAUGGAGAGCAGGGAGGUGGGAGCAACUCUGUCUCCCCACAAUGGUGCAGUUCACAGCCAACUUGCUUCUCCCUGCCCUCCCAGCCACUCUACCAUAACCCCAGCAAAAGGCACUUCAUGUGUUUUGAGAAGACAUCAUCAAGAGGGCCAAGGGUAUCAUAAAGUGGGGCUUUGGAGACCAGGUCCCCAUUCUAGCUCUGCAGUGACCCUGAGUAAAUCACUCCCCUCUCCAGGCCUCUGCUGUCACCGACUUUUGCAUAAGGAGGCUGAGCUAAGUGAUCUCCAAGGGUCCUUUCAGCUCUGAUAUUCUAUGAGUCUUGGCAAAAACAACCCUCCUGCCCAGCAUCCUCCCCUCUUGACUCAGAACUUGAACUACCGUAGCUGCUGAGGUGGGGCAGGGGUUAGGAGACUCAGUGUGACAAAGUACUUCCUGAGCUCCUCUCACUCACCUCUUCCUUCACUGGACCAGACACGGGCAUGAAGAGGAGGCCACAGUGCUAUCCUUCCUCCUCCAGUGCUUCAACCCCCUUCACCAGGGCACAAUGUGCACUACUCUGAUGCCCCCCGAUGCACCCUCUUUGGAUCCCCACACCCUCCCUUCUAAUUAGAAUCUCUCCUUGUGCACCUCUGGAUUCCUCUCUGGAGGCCAAGUGAGGGAUUCACUGACAAGAAAGCAAGGAUCUGCAGGAGCCCAUUGAGGAAUGGAGUGCUUUCCACCCAGAUCCCAGGGCAGAUACAGGAGAGAGGUCAAGUGGAGGGUGGAGGCAUCAGCUAGGGUAGGUGGAGGCAGGGCGUAUGGCGGCCCAGGAGAGGCUGGGUGUCCAAAGUCAGUCCAGGGAGAGGCCAGGAAGAUGGGCUCCAUGGAUCCUUAUGAGAGAAAUGGAAUCAUCCGAAUUCGGGGCGGGACCACGCCGUCAGACGAAGCUGGUGGGUGAGAAGAGCCAGGACCAUCAGGAGCUAGAACAGGCGUGAGACAAGAGCUGACUGGAUGUGAGGGUUCCAGAGAAGCAGACGGAUCUGUGGAGUGCUGGGAACCACAGUGCACUGGCACCUGGUUGCGGGGGGGGGUCAG